UUCAAUUGUUUAAUUCAGGCU
This is a non-coding RNA of Caenorhabditis elegans, 21 nucleotides long. The record is from Ensembl. Lineage: Eukaryota; Metazoa; Nematoda; Chromadorea; Rhabditida; Rhabditidae.